Molecule: ribosomal RNA, 440 nt
Filed under: uncultured bacterium
Lineage: Bacteria
Description: partial 16S ribosomal RNA
Rfam family: Bacterial small subunit ribosomal RNA
Source: RNAcentral
CCUACGGGGGGCUGCAGUAGGGAAUAUUGCUCAAUGGGGGAAACCCUGAAGCAGCAACGCCGCGUGGAGGAUGAAGGUUUUAGGAUUGUAAACUCCUUUUGUUAGAGAAGAUUAUGACGGUAUCUAACGAAUAAGCACCGGCUAACUCCGUGCCAGCAGCCGCGGUAAUACGGAGGGUGCAAGCGUUACUCGGAAUCACUGGGCGGAAAGAGUGUGUAGGCGGGGUAAUAAGUCAGAUGUGAAAUCCUGUAGCUUAACUAUAAAACUGCAAUUGAAACUGGUACUCUUGAGUGUAGGAGAGGUAGGUGGAAUUCGUGGUGUAGCGGUGAAAUGCGUAGAGAGCACGAAGAAUACUCAUUGCGAAGGCGACCUACUAAAACAUUACUGACACUGAUGCACGAAAGCGUGGGGAGCAAACAGGAUUAGAUACCCUAGUAGUC